RNAcentral lists this ribosomal RNA (447 nucleotides) under uncultured bacterium. Its description in RNAcentral is "bacterial SSU rRNA". It matches the Rfam family "Bacterial small subunit ribosomal RNA", at positions 355 to 825 of the family's 1533-position model. The record is from RNAcentral.
UGGGGAAUUUUGGGCAAUGGGCGAAAGCCUGACCCAGCAACGCCGCGUGAAGGAUGAAGUCUCUCGGGAUGUAAACUUCGUAAGAAUAGGAAGAAUAAAUGACGGUACUAUUUGUAAGGUCCGGCUAACUACGUGCCAGCAGCCGCGGUAAUACGUAGGGACCAAGCGUUGUUCGGAUUUACUGGGCGUAAAGGGCGCGUAGGCGGCGUGGUAAGUCACUUGUGAAAUCUCCGAGCUUAACUCGGAACGGUCAAGUGAUACUGCUGUGCUAGAGUACAGAAGGGGCAAUCGGAAUUCUUGGUGUAGCGGUGAAAUGCGUAGAUAUCAAGAGGAACACCUGAGGUGAAGACGGGUUGCUGGGCUGACACUGACGCUGAGGCGCGAAAGCCAGGGGAGCAAACGGGAUUAGAUACCCCUGUAGUCCCUGAGCGGGCUGGCAAGGCGCAU